This 570-nucleotide ribosomal RNA is filed under the name fungal isolate from Newtonia buchananii wood. RNAcentral's name for it is "eukaryotic LSU rRNA". The stretch from base 213 to 366 matches the Rfam family "5.8S ribosomal RNA". Lineage: Eukaryota; Fungi. The record is from RNAcentral.
GGGAUCAUUACCGAGUUUACAACUCCCAAACCCAAUGUGAACGUUACCAAACUGUUGCCUCGGCGGGAUCUCUGCCCCGGGUGCGUCGCAGCCCCGGACCAAGGCGCCCGCCGGAGGACCAACCAAAACUCUUUUUGUAUACCCCCUCGCGGGUUUUUUUUAUAAUCUGAGCCUUCUCGGCGCCUCUCGUAGGCGUUUCGAAAAUGAAUCAAAACUUUCAACAACGGAUCUCUUGGUUCUGGCAUCGAUGAAGAACGCAGCGAAAUGCGAUAAGUAAUGUGAAUUGCAGAAUUCAGUGAAUCAUCGAAUCUUUGAACGCACAUUGCGCCCGCCAGUAUUCUGGCGGGCAUGCCUGUCCGAGCGUCAUUUCAACCCUCGAACCCCUCCGGGGGGUCGGCGUUGGGGAUCGGCCCUCCCUUAGCGGGGGCCGUCUCCGAAAUACAGUGGCGGUCUCGCCGCAGCCUCUCCUGCGCAGUAGUUUGCACACUCGCAUCGGGAGCGCGGCGCGUCCACAGCCGUUAAACACCCAACUUCUGAAAUGUUGACCUCGGAUCAGGUAGGAAUACCCGC